RNAcentral lists this non-coding RNA (24 nucleotides) under Arabidopsis thaliana (thale cress). Lineage: Eukaryota; Viridiplantae; Streptophyta; Magnoliopsida; Brassicales; Brassicaceae. The record is from RNAcentral.
GUGGUGCUGGAUAUGGAAGUAGAG